Paramuricea clavata is the source of this 96-nucleotide non-coding RNA. The record is from the annotation of a GenBank genome assembly. Lineage: Eukaryota; Metazoa; Cnidaria; Anthozoa; Malacalcyonacea; Plexauridae.
GACACGUUACACACGUUACACCCAUUUUUUUUAUAAAUAAAUAUAUAUAUAUAUAUAUUUUUUUAAAAACAAUGGGUGUAACGUGUGUAACGUGUU